GAUGAACGCUGGCGGUAUGCUUAACACAUGCAAGUCGAACGGACUCUUCGGAGUUAGUGGCGGACGGGUGAGUAACGCGUGAGAAUCUGGCUUUGGGUUCGGGACAACCACUGGAAACGGUGGCUAAUACCGGAUGUGCCGAGAGGUAAAAGAGAAAUUGCCUGAAGAUGAGCUCGCGUCUGAUUAGCUAGUUGGUGAGGUAAAGGCUCACCAAGGCAGCGAUCAGUAGCUGGUCUGAGAGGAUGACCAGCCACACUGGGACUGAGACACGGCCCAGACUCCUACGGGAGGCAGCAGUGGGGAAUGUUCCGCAAUGGGCGAAAGCCUGACGGAGCAAUACCGCGUGAGGGAAGAAGGCUCUUGGGUUGUAAACCUCUUUUCUUAGGGAAGAACAAAAUGACGGUACCUAAGGAAUCAGCAUCGGCUAACUCCGU
RNAcentral lists this ribosomal RNA (434 nucleotides) under uncultured bacterium. RNAcentral's name for it is "partial 16S ribosomal RNA". It matches the Rfam family "Bacterial small subunit ribosomal RNA", at positions 28 to 506 of the family's 1533-position model. The record is from RNAcentral.